GAGAAUGCCGGUGUGAGUAGCGAAAGACGGGUGAGAAUCCCGUCCACCGAUUGACUAAGGUUUCCAGAGGAAGGCUCGUCCGCUCUGGGUUAGUCGGGUCCUAAGCUGAGGCCGACAGGCGUAGGCGAUGGAUAACAGGUUGAUAUUCCUGUACCACCUAUAAUCGUUUUAAUCGAUGGGGGGACGCAGUAGGAUAGGCGAAGCGUGCGAUUGGAUUGCACGUCUAAGCAGUAAGGCUGAGUAUUAGGCAAAUCCGGUACUCGUUAAGGCUGAGCUGUGAUGGGGAGAAGACAUUGUGUCUUCGAGUCGUUGAUUUCACACUGCCGAGAAAAGCCUCUAGAUAGAAAAUAGGUGCCCGUACCGCAAACCGACACAGGUAGUCAAGAUGAGAAUUCUAAGGUGAGCGAGCGAACUCUCGUUAAGGAACUCGGCAAAAUGACCCCGUAACUUCGGGAGAAGGGGUGCUCUUUAGGGUUAACGCCCAGAAGAGCCGCAGUGAAUAGGCCCAAGCGACUGUUUAUCAAAAACACAGGUCUCUGCUAAACCGUAAGGUGAUGUAUAGGGGCUGACGCCUGCCCGGUGCUGGAAGGUUAAGAGGAGUGGUUAGCUUCUGCGAAGCUACGAAUCGAAGCCCCAGUAAACGGCGGCCGUAACUAUAACGGUCCUAAGGUAGCGAAAUUCCUUGUCGGGUAAGUUCCGACCCGCACGAAAGGCGUAACGAUUUGGGCACUGUCUCAACGAGAGACUCGGUGAAAUCAUAGUACCUGUGAAGAUGCAGGUUACCCGCGACAGGACGGAAAGACCCCGUGGAGCUUUACUGUAGCCUGAUAUUGAAAUUCGGCACAGCUUGUACAGGAUAGGUAGGAGCCUUUGAAACGUGAGCGCUAGCUUACGUGGAGGCGCUGGUGGGAUACUACCCUAGCUGUGUUGGCUUUCUAACCCGCACCACUUAUCGUGGUGGGAGACAGUGUCAGGCGGGCAGUUUGACUGGGGCGGUCGCCUCCUAAAAGGUAACGGAGGCGCUCAAAGGUUCCCUCAGAAUGGUUGGAAAUCAUUCAUAGAGUGUAAAGGCAUAAGGGAGCUUGACUGCGAGACCUACAAGUCGAGCAGGGUCGAAAGACGGACUUAGUGAUCCGGUGGUUCCGCAUGGAAGGGCCAUCGCUCAACGGAUAAAAGCUACCCCGGGGAUAACAGGCUUAUCUCCCCCAAGAGUUCACAUCGACGGGGAGGUUUGGCACCUCGAUGUCGGCUCAUCGCAUCCUGGGGCUGUAGUCGGUCCCAAGGGUUGGGCUGUUCGCCCAUUAAAGCGGUACGCGAGCUGGGUUCAGAACGUCGUGAGACAGUUCGGUCCCUAUCCGUCGUGGGCGUAGGAAAUUUGAGAGGAGCUGUCCUUAGUACGAGAGGACCGGGAUGGACAUACCUCUGGUGUACCAGUUGUCGUGCCAACGGCAUAGCUGGGUAGCUAUGUGUGGACGGGAUAAGUGCUGAAAGCAUCUAAGCAUGAAGCCCCCCUCAAGAUGAGAUUUCCCAACUUCGGUUAUAAGAUCCCUCAAA
RNAcentral lists this ribosomal RNA (1554 nucleotides) under Staphylococcus aureus. Its description in RNAcentral is "partial 23S ribosomal RNA". It matches the Rfam family "Bacterial large subunit ribosomal RNA", at positions 1290 to 2842 of the family's 2925-position model. The record is from RNAcentral. Lineage: Bacteria; Bacillati; Bacillota; Bacilli; Caryophanales; Staphylococcaceae.